This 239-nucleotide ribosomal RNA is filed under the name uncultured bacterium. RNAcentral's name for it is "partial 16S ribosomal RNA". It matches the Rfam family "Bacterial small subunit ribosomal RNA", at positions 95 to 334 of the family's 1533-position model. The record is from RNAcentral.
CCGGCGCACGGGUGAGUAACACGUAUCCAACCUGCCGAUAACUCGGGGAUAGCCUUCUGAAAGGAAGAUUAAUACAAGAUGGCAUCAUGAGUCCGCAUGUUCACAUGAUUAAAGGUGUUCCGGUAGACGAUGGGGAUGCGUUCCAUUAGAUAGUAGGCGGGGUAACGGCCCACCAAGCCUUCGAUGGAUAGGGGUUCUGAGAGGAAGGUCCCCCACAUUGGAACUGAGACACGGUCCAA